CCAUAUCAAUAAGCGGAGGAAAAGAAACCAACAGGGAUUGCCCUAGUAACGGCGAGUGAAGCGGCAACAGCUCAAAUUUGAAAUCUGGCUUCGGCCCGAGUUGUAAUUUGCAGAGGAAGCUUUAGGCGCGGCACCUACUGAGUCCCCUGGAACGGGGCGCCAUAGAGGGUGAGAGCCCCGUAUAGUUGGACGCCUAGCCUGUGUAAAGCUCCUUCGACGAGUCGAGUAGUUUGGGAAUGCUGCUCAAAAUGGGAGGUAAAUUUCUUCUAAAGCUAAAUACCGGCCAGAGACCGAUAGCGCACAAGUAGAGUGAUCGAAAGAUGAAAAGCACUUUGAAAAGAGGGUUAAAUAGCACGUGAAAUUGUUGAAAGGGAAGCGCUUGUGACCAGACUUGCGCCGGGCGGAUCAUCCGGUGUUCUCACCGGUGCACUCCGCCCGGCUCAGGCCAGCAUCGGUUCUCGCGGGGGGAUAAAGGCCUCGGGAACGUAGCUCCUCCGGGAGUGUUAUAGCCCGGGGCGCAAUGCCCUCGCGGGGACCGAGGUUCGCGCAUCUGCAAGGAUGCUGGCGUAAUGGUCAUCAGCGACCCGUCUUGAAACACGGACCAAGGAGUCAAGGUUUUGCGCGAGUGUUUGGGUGUCAAACCCGCACGCGUAAUGAAAGUGAACGUAGGUGAGAGCUUCGGCGCAUCAUCGACCGAUCCUGAUGUUUUCGGAUGGAUUUGAGUAGGAGCGUUAAGCCUUGGACCCGAAAGAUGGUGAACUAUGCUUGGAUAGGGUGAAGCCAGAGGAAACUCUGGUGGAGGCUCGCAGCGGUUCUGACGUGCAAAUCGAUCGUCAAAUCUGAGCAUGGGGGCGAAAGACUAAUCGAACCAUCUAGUAGCUGGUUACCGCCGAAGUU
This 897-nucleotide ribosomal RNA is filed under the name Parachaetomium perlucidum. RNAcentral's name for it is "partial large subunit ribosomal RNA". It matches the Rfam family "Eukaryotic large subunit ribosomal RNA", at positions 38 to 968 of the family's 3401-position model. Lineage: Eukaryota; Fungi; Ascomycota; Sordariomycetes; Sordariales; Chaetomiaceae. The record is from RNAcentral.